GACAGAGGUGCCGAGCGUUAGGCGGAAUCACUGGGCUUAAAGCGUGUGUAGGCGGGCCGUUAAGUGUCUUGUGAAAUCCCCCCGGCUCAACCGGGGAAUUGCUGGGCAUACUGGCGGUCUUGAGCGAUCUAGGGGCAGAUGGAACAAGUGGUGGAGCGGUGAAAUGCGUAGAUAUCACUUGGAACGCCAAAGGUGAAGACAGUCUGCUGGGGAUCUGCUGACGCUGAGACACGAAAGCCAGGGGAGCGAACGGG
Molecule: ribosomal RNA, 254 nt
Filed under: uncultured bacterium
Lineage: Bacteria
Description: partial 16S ribosomal RNA
Rfam family: Bacterial small subunit ribosomal RNA
Source: RNAcentral